This 492-nucleotide ribosomal RNA is filed under the name uncultured bacterium. RNAcentral describes it as "partial 16S ribosomal RNA". It matches the Rfam family "Bacterial small subunit ribosomal RNA", at positions 29 to 507 of the family's 1533-position model. The record is from RNAcentral.
AGUGAACGCUGGCGGUAGGCCUAACACAUGCAAGUCGAACGGAAGCACAGUAAGAGCUUGCUCUUAAGGGUGGCGGGUGGCGGGCGGGUAAGGAAUAGAUCGGCUACUAAUAUUUCGGGGAGGAUAACGUGGGAAAGCUGACGCUAACACAGAAUAUGACCAACGGGUGAAUGCAGGGGUGCAACGGGGCUUGGGCGACUGAAUGAGCCGAUGCCGGAUUAGAUAGUUGGCGGGGUAAAGGCCCACCAAGGCGAGGAUCCGUAGCUGGUCUGAGAGGAUGAUCAGCCACACUGGAACUGAGACACGGUCCAGACUCCUACGGGAGGCAGCAGUGGGGAAUCUUCCGCAAUGGGCGCAAGCCUGACCCAGCCAUGCCGCGUGGGUGAAGAAGGCCUUCGGGUCGUAAAACCCUUUCAUUGGGGAAGAACAACUGCAUAUUUAUCCCCCCCCGUUCUGACGGUACCCAAACAAUAAGCACCGGCUAACUUCGUG